GACAUGUCUGAAUACCCAUACUAGCAUACUACAUACUAUACGUAUACUUGAUAUGACUACUAAUCGUCGCAUACUAUUUAGCAUGUAAUGUUUAGUAAAAGGUAUGCUGUAUGUCACGGCUGCAAUGCAGUCGCAGCUCCUGAUUGGCUGAGUAGGUGGGGCGGGGCCGAGUGUGGGUGAAUUUGUCCAAAUGCAAAAGACAUGCAUCUCAUUAACCAGCCUGAUAAUAGCUCAUUUCUAAUUGUAUUAAUUUCUCUAAACUCUGAAUAAAACUACCUACUCCACAGUAGACCUAUACAGUAGUAGACCAUAUAGACAAUCUACCCUAUUUAAAAACAGACUGAAGACAGAAACAGACCAUUUGGUUCCAUUUCAACAUAUUUAUUAUUUUAUUAGUUCAACGUUUUUUAAAGUGUUUAAAUCAAAAGGCUAUUGGACAGAAAAACUUGAGCAUUCGGUGCAUCGCGAAUUAGGAACCGCUGGACAGCAACGUAAUAAACGAACGCGCUGAUCAUUGGGAACGAGAUCAGAAUGACUGCUAAGGCCUGAUCCAUAAAUUAAAUCAUUCAAUAGGUAGCCUAGCCUACAAAACUAAAACAAAAGGCCUGAUUCACAUGACAUCAAUACCACAGCAACAUCCCAAGUCCCCGGUGUCGACACGUUCAGAAAUCAAAAGAUAAUUUUAAAACUCUGACGAAGACCAAGAGAACAAGAAACACUUUUCAGAGAGGAAACAAAAAUCCACUUUGGGCAAUUAGGAGUCACAGCCGCCUCUCCCCCUCCAUGGAUGAGGCAGCCAGCUGACAAGGCUGCUGUGGUUCCCGCCAAUGGCGGAGGUUGGACUAUGGCUGGCAAAAGAAGCAUCCAGAUUCAGACUUACGGGGUUCCAUGGCCAAGGUAGAAGGCUGAUCUUGUCGGGGUACCAUGCCGGAGCAGACAGCUGCAGCUGCAGACACGAUUUUUAAUUGCAUGUUGAGUGCCCAGUGGGUGGAUGCUGUGUUGCCCUUUUAACAUUGAGUAACUUUGUGUGUUAUAGCCGUCAGGCCUUACUAUACAUUGAAUAAUCUAAUGGUGUGUUAUCAUAGUUGCUCUGGCAGUUUUGUGUGUACUAUUCAUCUUACCAAAAUAACUUUAUUUGUUAUUGUACACCCUUUUUCUCCCCAAUUUCGUGAUAUCCAAUUGCAAUCCAACUAUGAUCUUGUGUCAUCGCUGCAACUCCCCAACGGGCUCAGGAGAGGCAAAUGUCAAGUCAUGCGUCCUCCGAAAAAUGACACACCAAACCGCGCUUCUUAACACCUGCCUGCUUAACCCGGAAGCAAGCUGCACCAACGAGGAAACACCGUUCAACUGACGGCCGAGACAAAGACCCGAAGACAUUCAAGCAGCACUUUGAGAGUAAGCAUCCCAGUACUGGUUGAUGUGCUGGCCUAAGUGGACCAAAUGGACCUACUGCUGGGACAGACGAUGACCACGAUUUGAAAUCUGCAACUGAGAUGGAAUAACAUUGAGGGACACACGCUGACACCGAGUAUGACUGGACAUGGGCCGGAUAUUUGGGACAACAACCUGAAAGGGGUGCAUAAGCACACCAGCACCCCAAUUUAUGUUAUUCCAUGGCCAACCAUCCCACUAGCUACCCCUUAUUCCACACUAUGCCGUGUAUGCCCCCUCAACUCCAGACACUUUGGAACUAUCCACCUUCCCAACCUACCUUCACUGAUUUUCGCUAUGCUGCUUCCUUCACUUGUUCUUCUAAUAGCAUCUAGAAUCAGUAACACCUUUAAAUGUGGUCCUGCUUUAAAUGACGUUCUGCUUAUAAAGCCUUCAUAAUGCCGUCAUAAGCACAACACAAGUGUUGCAAAGCAUCUAUAACCGUAUGUCAUGCUUUAUAAAGGGUUCAUAAAUGUGGCAUAACUGUGUUACAUAAUCACCCAUGUCAAAUGUGACAACACUUAUGUUGAAUAUGAUACAAUCAAGUGCUUUAUAACGGGUGACAUGUUGUGUUGCGUUGGCACAGGAUGGCACAUGCGCUACAGUGAAGUCAUGUUAGCCACAUUACACCUAAUCUCGAUCCCAGACACCCAAAUGCACAGAAGGUCUAGUGGACCAAUGCAUGAAACUUGGCCUUCAUUAGUUAGGGUUGGGUUUCACAUGAAAUUUGAAUCAGAUUGAUUGAGGAAAUGGGCAGUGAUUAGCCAUAAUUAUGACUCUGUGGCUGUACUUCAUAAGUCAUCAGAACCUUAAUGACCUAUUUAAGGACACUUUAUCUGGUGUCCUGUAAUACUUUGUUUGAAGUGAUACAACUUCGGUCAUUCAUAACACAUCCGUAAAGACUCUAUAUCCCAUAGCGCUGUACUUUAAAGUCUCCUUUAGUCAUUCAUAGCACAUACAUAAAUGCCUUGUAUCAUAUGACGCUGUACUUACUAUAAAGUCAGACACAUUUGGUCAUUUCUAAACACACAUAGAUGCCUUGUAUCAUAUGACGCUGUACUUACUAUAAAGUCAGACACAUUUGGUCAUUUCUAAACACACAUAGAUGCCUU
This is a long non-coding RNA of Oncorhynchus tshawytscha (Chinook salmon), 2543 nucleotides long. NCBI's taxonomy places the organism in Eukaryota, Metazoa, Chordata, Actinopteri, Salmoniformes, Salmonidae. The record is from Ensembl.